GACUGGCGCACGGGUGAGUAACGCGUAUCCAACCUUCCCAUAACUACGGGAUAACCCGUUGAAAGACGGCCUAAUACCGUAUGACAUCGUUUGCUGACAUCAAAUAACGAUUAAAGGUUUAGCGGUUAUGGAUGGGGAUGCGUCUGAUUAGCUUGUUGGCGGGGUAACGGCCCACCAAGGCGACGAUCAGUAGGGGUUCUGAGAGGAAGGUCCCCCACAUUGGAACUGAGACACGGUCCAAACUCCUACGGGAGGCAGCAGUGAGGAAUAUUGGUCAAUGGGCGAGAGCCUGAACCAGCCAAGUAGCGUGCAGGAAGACGGCCCUAUGGGUUGUAAACUGCUUUUAUGUGGGGAUAAAGUGCGUGACGUGUCGUGCAUUGCAGGUACCACAUGAAUAAGGACCGGCUAAUUCCGUGCCAGCAGCCGCGGUAAUACGGAAGGUCCGGGCGUUAUCCGGAUUUAUUGGGUUUAAAGGGAGCGUAGGCUGUCUAUUAAGCGUGUUGUGAAAUUUACCGGCUCAACCGGUGGCUUGCAGCGCGAACUGGUCGACUUGAGUAUGCAGGAAGUAGGCGGAAUUCAUGGUGUAGCGGUGAAAUGCUUAGAUAUCAUGACGAACUCCGAUUGCGCANGCAGCNNNCUGUAGCAUAACUGACGCUGAUGCUCAAAAGUGCGGGUAUC
Molecule: ribosomal RNA, 678 nt
Filed under: uncultured bacterium
Lineage: Bacteria
Description: bacterial SSU rRNA
Rfam family: Bacterial small subunit ribosomal RNA
Source: RNAcentral